Molecule: ribosomal RNA, 301 nt
Filed under: uncultured bacterium
Lineage: Bacteria
Description: partial 16S ribosomal RNA
Rfam family: Bacterial small subunit ribosomal RNA
Source: RNAcentral
CAGUAGCCGCGGUAAUACGUAGGGUGCAAGCGUUAAUCGGAAUUACUGGGCGUAAAGCGUGCGCAGGCGGUUAUAUAAGACAGAUGUGAAAUCCCCGGGCUCAACCUGGGAACUGCAUUUGUGACUGUAUAGCUAGAGUACGGCAGAGGGGGAUGGAAUUCCGCGUGUAGCAGUGAAAUGCGUAGAUAUGCGGAGGAACACCGAUGGCGAAGGCAAUCCCCUGGGCCUGUACUGACGCUCAUGCACGAAAGCGUGGGGAGCAAACAGGAUUAGAUACCCGUGUAGUCCAUGUCUCUUAUAC